This 492-nucleotide ribosomal RNA is filed under the name uncultured bacterium. Its description in RNAcentral is "partial 16S ribosomal RNA". It matches the Rfam family "Bacterial small subunit ribosomal RNA", at positions 29 to 507 of the family's 1533-position model. The record is from RNAcentral.
AGUGAACGCUGGCGGUAGGCCUAACACAUGCAAGUCGAACGGCAGCACAGUAAGAGCUUGCUCUUACGGGUGGCGAGUGGCGGACGGGUGAGGAAUACAUCGGAAUCUACUUUUUCGUGGGGGAUAACGUAGGGAAACUUACGCUAAUACCGCAUACGACCUACGGGUGAAAGCAGGGGAUCUUCGGACCUUGCGCGAUUGAAUGAGCCGAGGUCGGAUUAGCUAGUUGGCGGGGUAAAGGCCCACCAAGGCGACGAUCCGUAGCUGGUCUGAGAGGAUGAUCAGCCACACUGGAACUGAGACACGGUCCAGACUCCUACGGGAGGCAGCAGUGGGGAAUAUUGGACAAUGGGCGCAAGCCUGAUCCAGCCAUACCGCGUGGGUGAAGAAGGCCUUCGGGUUGUAAAGCCCUUUUGUUGGGAAAGAAAAGCAGCAGGUUAAUACCCCGCUGUUCUGACGGUACCCAAAGAAUAAGCACCGGCUAACUUCGUG